Molecule: small nuclear RNA, 103 nt
Organism: Erinaceus europaeus (western European hedgehog)
Lineage: Eukaryota; Metazoa; Chordata; Mammalia; Eulipotyphla; Erinaceidae
Source: Ensembl
GUGCUCAUUUCAGCAGCACACAUAUAAAAACUGGAAUGAUACAGAGAAAAUGAAUGUGGGCCCUGUGCAAGUAUGGCAUGCUAAUGAAGUGUUCCAGAAAAUA